RNAcentral lists this ribosomal RNA (257 nucleotides) under uncultured bacterium. RNAcentral's name for it is "partial 16S ribosomal RNA". It matches the Rfam family "Bacterial small subunit ribosomal RNA", at positions 524 to 777 of the family's 1533-position model. The record is from RNAcentral.
UACGUAGGGACCAAGCGUUGUUCGGAUUUACUGGGCGUAAAGGGCGCGUAGGCGGCAAUUCAAGUCAUCUGUGAAAUCUCCGGGCUUAACCCGGAACGGUCAGGAUGAUACUGCUUUGCUAGAGUGCGGGAAGGGGCAAUCGGAAUUCUUGGUGUAGCGGUGAAAUGCGUAGAUAUCAAGAGGAACACCUGAGGUGAAGACGGGUUGCUGGGCCGACACUGACGCUGACAGCGCGAAAGCCAGGGGAGCAAACGGGG